Molecule: ribosomal RNA, 1671 nt
Filed under: Triticum aestivum (bread wheat)
Lineage: Eukaryota; Viridiplantae; Streptophyta; Magnoliopsida; Poales; Poaceae
Description: partial small subunit ribosomal RNA
Source: RNAcentral
AUGAAUCACGAAGAUGGCGCUGAUACUUGGGGUUCUCAAAGGCCAGAAAUGCCCCCUUGGGAUGCAUCAGAGUACAGUCAACUCAUCUCUGCAGGGCUGUUGCUGCCACUACUAGAACAGUAUGCAGGCAUUGGCAGCCAACUUCAACUAGCUAAUAUGGCUAAUCAAGGUGAACAUGCAGAGCCUUCAUGCAGCACGUGGCAUCAGGCAGCACCCAUGUACCUGCCAUCGACGUCAUACACAGGUUAUUACGGUGGUGGUAACCCGGCCAACGUCUCGUGGCAAGCUUCACAGAUUGCAGGUGGAGCAUGUCAAUUUGGUGUCACAGACCACACAAGAUGGUCACAUGCAGCACAACAAGGGCCUACAACUACAGUGAACAGCGGCACGGGCACAUCUACUAUGGGGAGCUUUGAGCGCAUGGAAGACGCGUUCCCCCAGCCAGCAGACAAUCAUGCCGCAAACAAUGCCGAGUCAGUGUCGGAAAUGGCAAUCAUUCCAGCAAUUCCCACGGCCAACCCUUUGAACGCAAGCAGUGGCAACACUCAAGUAGAUGAAACUGCCGCCGAUACUGAAGUGAAUGAUGAAACUGACGACGAGGCACAACGGGAUGAAGAUGAUGGGCAACCAGAGAUCAUGGUACCUCAGCCACCGAAAAUUAAGAAAACUAAUGAGUACAGCAGAGGUGAGAUGAGGUGCCACAAGGCACGAAGGAACAAGAAAGGGAAAGGUGUUGCGCCUGUCGUUCUGGAACAAAAGAGAGGGAUCAUUCUCAAGACGGGAUGCCUUGUCCAGUGUAAGCUAAACGUAGAUGGAACACAGUAUGUGCUCACUGAAUAUUUUGACGAGCACAACCACAAACUCAUAAAGAAGUUCGACCUGGUCAAAUUUCUGACCGCCCACAGAGGAUUCACCCCAGUCGAAAGGCAAUUCGUAAAGCUGAUCCAGGAAGAAAUAAAGCGUGUCAGCAUGUUCACGGCUUUCCAGGUGGACAAACAUACGUUCAAGGUGUGUUCUAUUUUGGGCAUGUCAGAUUCAGAACCUGAAGACCCGGACAAAGGAAGGAACUACUUUGUCAAAGCCUCGAUAGGCGAAGGCGAAUACUACUGCCAAUGCUGCAAGUUUGAACGGGACGGCAUUGUGUGUUGUCACAUACUAAAAGUAAUGGACAUGAACGCUGUGACACGGAUGCCCCGCCAUUUCAUAAGGCGGCGAUGGACUUGGGACGCUGACGACGCGUUUGCGCCGCAGAGAACAAAUGCAGUUCUGGCUGUGCAUGACGAGAGACCUGAGGCAACCAUAGAAGCCGUGAGGCACGUUGUGCUGACAAAGAAUUAUGCUGAGCUAAUUGAUGAAGCAUGCAAGAGUGAUGAGACAGUGAGAGUCGCAGAAAAACACAGGAAGGCCCUGAAAAGAGAGCUUGAUGAGAUCAAGAAGAGGAAAGCUGAGGAAGCCUUACACCGGUUCCCCCGCACAUCAAGUGUGCCUUCAUCCACGGGGCCAUCAUCUGAAAACUCUGAGAUAGGAUCUGGAACAGCAAGCACACAAAUCCAGGUCAGGAACCCACCCCGUUCCAUCACAAAGGGUCGUCCAAGAGAGAUAAGGUACAAAUCGGGAUUGGAGAUUCAAGCAAAACACAAGAAAACAAAGAAAGGGACGGGCAAUCCAUAA